AUGGCUACCUUCACUUCCCAGGUCAGCGCGAUGGCCGGCGCCUCCCCGUCGAGCUCUCUCUUCGUGAGCCGGCGGCGGCCGGCGGUCAUGCCCCUGCAGAUGCGGGUUGCUCGUGGCGGGCGGCCGCGCGGGUUGGCGAUGCGGGUGACGUGCGAGAAGGUGGUGGGAAUCGACCUGGGCACCACCAACUCCGCCGUCGCGGCGAUGGAGGGCGGUAAGCCGACGGUGAUCACCAACGCCGAGGGCCAGCGGACGACGCCGUCGGUGGUGGCGUACACCAAGGGAGGAGAACGGCUAGUGGGCCAGAUUGCCAAGAGGCAGGCCGUCGUCAACCCGGAGAACACCUUCUUCUCCGUCAAGCGCUUCAUUGGACGCAAGAUGGCUGAGGUAGAUGACGAGGCCAAGCAGGUCUCAUAUAACGUUGUGCGCGAUGAGAACGGAAACGUCAAGCUCGACUGCCCUGCUAUCGGCAAGCAGUUCGCAGCGGAAGAGAUAUCCGCGCAGGUAUUGAGGAAAUUGGUGGACGAUGCAUCUAAGUUUCUGAAUGACAAAAUUACAAAAGCGGUGGUUACCGUUCCAGCGUACUUCAAUGACUCGCAGAGAACAGCAACAAAGGAUGCUGGCCGUAUUGCAGGGCUGGAAGUUCUCCGCAUUAUAAAUGAGCCAACUGCUGCAUCUCUUGCUUAUGGUUUUGAGAAGAAAAACAACGAAACGAUUCUAGUGUUUGACUUGGGUGGCGGUACUUUUGAUGUCUCUGUAUUGGAGGUUGGAGAUGGUGUAUUUGAGGUGCUUUCCACAUCUGGGGACACACACUUAGGUGGAGAUGACUUUGAUAAGAAAAUUGUAGAUUGGCUUGCUAGCACCUUCAAGAAUGAUGAAGGCAUCGAUCUUCUUAAGGAUAAACAAGCCCUUCAGCGUCUUACUGAGGCAGCAGAAAAAUCUAAGAUGGAAUUGUCAACGCUAACACAGGCGAACAUUAGCUUGCCAUUCAUAACUGCUACUGCUGAUGGGCCCAAACACAUUGAGGCAACCCUCUCUAGAGCUAAAUUCGAGGAACUGUGUUCAGAUCUGAUUGAUAGGCUUAAAACUCCUGUUAAUAACGCCUUGAAAGAUGCCAAGCUAUCUGUUAGUAAUCUAGAUGAAGUGAUUCUUGUGGGUGGAUCCACCCGAAUCCCUGCAGUGCAAGAAACUGUUAGGAAGAUAACAGGCAAGGAUCCUAAUGUUACAGUCAACCCUGAUGAGGUUGUUUCUCUUGGGGCGGCCGUACAGGGUGGAGUUUUGGCUGGAGAUGUGAAGGAUGUUGUUCUUCUUGAUGUUACUCCAUUGUCAAUUGGUUUGGAGACGUUGGGUGGAGUGAUGACGAAGAUUAUCCCCAGGAAUACAACACUGCCCACCUCCAAAUCAGAGGUAUUCUCAACGGCUGCUGAUGGACAGACAAGUGUUGAGAUUAAUGUCCUCCAGGGAGAGAGAGAGUUUGUCAGGGACAACAAGUCUCUUGGAAGCUUCCGACUGGAUGGGAUCCCUCCUGCACCACGUGGUGUACCACAAAUUGAAGUGAAGUUUGACAUUGAUGCCAAUGGCAUUCUGUCAGUAGCAGCUGUUGAUAAGGGUACUGGAAAGAAGCAGGAUAUCACCAUCACUGGUGCUAGUACACUACCAAAGGACGAGGUCGAGAGAAUGGUAGAAGAAGCCGACAAGUUUGCCCAGGAGGACAAAGAGAAAAGAGAUGCUAUUGACACCAAGAACCAAGCAGACUCUGUGGUGUACCAGACGGAGAAGCAACUGAAGGAGCUUGGGGACAAGGUCCCUGCUCCUGUGAAAGAGAAGGUUGAUGUAAAGCUCCAGGAACUGAAAGAUGCCAUUGCUGGUGGAUCGACACAGAGCAUGAAAACUGCCAUGGAGGCUUUGAACCAGGAGGUAAUGCAGAUCGGACAGGCUAUGUACAACCAAACUAGUGCCGGUGGUGCUGGCUCUACUGAUGCUGAAACUGAGCCUGGUGCUGGAUCAACAAGCUCAGGAAAGGGACCAAAUGAUGGAGAUGUUAUCGACGCGGACUUCACAGAUAGCAAUUAA
This 2073-nucleotide ribosomal RNA is filed under the name Triticum aestivum (bread wheat). Its description in RNAcentral is "partial small subunit ribosomal RNA". The record is from RNAcentral. Lineage: Eukaryota; Viridiplantae; Streptophyta; Magnoliopsida; Poales; Poaceae.